CCCCUUUUUUGGCAUCAUACGUUAUUAUUCAAUCACAUUACAUUUGUUUUAAAGAAUAUGCCACACUAAAGCAUUAAAAUCAUUUUAUUCCGUAAAUAUUCAAAAUACUUAGUGUAAUAGGCCCAAUUUGCCCAGCCCAUAAUCAAAUCAAAAUAAAAAAAAAUAUAAACCAAACACAAAAAUUAGUCCAUUGGCCCAGAACAUUAAACCCAAAUGGCCCAAUUGCACUUAGCCCCGUUUACUUAAGCCCACUAGCCUGAAUACCCGCAUAAGAGAACAAGAGACCCUAGGGUUUCUGCAAACUCUAGCCGCUGCAGUCAAGCUGAGCCUCCUCCUGCGCAUGUUGCGUUCCUGCGCGUGCAGCGCCUCCGCGCCAGGUCCACACGUACCUUCUCCAGGCUGGCAUCGUACCUGCACAACGGAAGCAACAAACCAGCAACGCAAAAGAAAAACAAAAAAAAUAGCAAGCAAAUAACAGAAAUAGAGAAGAGAUUUUGGAUUUUUUUUUCGAUUUUUAUUUUUCUUCUAUUCGAAUCGGCUAUAUAAGGCCGAUUCCAACACUGUAAACGGGUUACACACACACAGAAUAUCAAUAGAAAAAUCAGACAAAACAAAAGCUGCGUUUUUGGAAGGUGAUUUCUUUUUAAAGUUUUUUUUUUCUUUAUCUAUCGUUCUGUUCUUGUUUCUUUUGGGGAUAUACCUGAAAUAAAAAAGGAAAAGGCAAGGAUCUCACCUUCGCAAGGACGCCAAUGAAGCCCUGUUCGCUCCGUUCAAAUCGAGGCCAGAGGGGUUUCACAUUUGGAGGCGGCAGAGGGGAAUGAUUCGGGUCUAAAGUGGCUAGGGGGACUAAUGAUUUAGGGUUUUUUAUGGCAUUUAUAUUAGUGAAACGGCACCGUUUGGGCCUUGCUUCGAUGGCACCAAAACAGUGCCGUAUUGGACCAAAACCGAUGACUCGACCCAGACACCGAUAGAUCCGCGUGUUCUGGCAUGGAGAGGGAUAUUUGCACAAAUGGUCCCUAGAUUUUUAUAGCGUGUUUAAAUAGAUCUUUUUAUUUCCUUUAAAUUUUGCCCCGCUUUUUAGUAUUUUUGUUUCACUUUAAUCCUUCGCAUAAAAUGCUGCGUUUUGGAAGGGAGGGAAUAUUUCCCACUCGCCCCCCAUAUAAUUCGCGCGUUGUGAUAUAGUCCCCGACUUUGUUUUAAUUACAUUAAUUUCUUGUUAAUUUAGACUUAAUUGCGAUUUAACCUUUUUGACAUUUGUUUUUUUUAUUAAUUCAUUAAUUAUUUUUUUAUUAUUAUUAGUACAUUCGGUCAUAUUUUCAUUUAUGUUUUUGUGCAUUAUUUUAUUACAUAUAUUAUCAUUUCGAGUUUUAGUUAUAUUAUUAUUAUAAUUUUAUAAUGUGUUAUUUUAUUCGACAUAAUAUAUUACCGAUUACAUGUUAUUAUAUUAUUUCCACUCAUUUCAUACAUAAUUUAUUUCAUUUGAAAUACUCCAUUAUACUUUAUUUAUUCCAAUCUUUUAUACGUACUAUUAUACAUAUACCAUUAUAUGAAGUUUUUCAAUCCUUAUGCAUUACUCAUUUAAAUUAAUAUAUGUAUAUUAUUUAAUGUGUUUUGAUUUAUUUUUAUAUAAUACUUACUUUAAAAUUUAUUUGGAUACUAUUAUUUUAUGUUGUAUUUAUUUUUAACCGUAUUAAAAAUUUAUUUCAAUUUUUUAUAUAUAUUAUUUAUUUUAAAUUUAUUCUAAUAUAUAAUUUCCUUUCUUUCAUGUUAUUGUUUAUUUUUCAAAACUUGUUGCAUUUUUUUUUGUAUUAAUUUGCUUGGAGCUUCGUUUAAGAUUAGUUUUUAGUUCAUUAGCUUUUGAAUAUUAAAGCUAUUAUUUGUAUGUGAUGUGAGAUAAUUGCUCUUACGUGUAUUGUAUUGUUUGCUCAUAUCUAUCGCUUCUUUGUCGUUCAUUCGCGUACAUUUUAAUUUACGAAUCACCAUUCCGCGUUGUAUGUUAUUAUUUGAUUGUUUUAUUUGUUUAAAAGAUUACGUUUAAUAUCAUUCAAGUAUCGAGAGCUUUUUUAUUCAAAAAGUUUUUAAAAAGAAAAAUAAUAACGCGACACUCGGGAUUUGUGAUCCUCGAAAAGAUUGUGUCCUAACUCACUGGAUUCCAAUCUUCCUCGGGAUCUAAGAGACCGAAUAUUCCUUUUAAUUAACAUAAAUAAAAAGCUCAUUCUCGAGAAUUCGAUAUGUGGUGUCCUAACAUAUUGGAUAUGACAUAUUGUUCUCUCGAGACGAGAAUUUUUCUAAUAAAUGAAAAUAAAGGCAAUAUUCGAUAUUUAGGAAUUUUGUGAAAUAGAGCCCUAACUUACUGGGUUUUGAUUUUCUCAUUUGACCCAAAUAAUCAAAUACCCUUCUCAAAAUGCAUAAGUUUUAAAGGUCAAGAGAUAAACUUAAUUUUGAGGAUUUAAAAUGUCGCACUCUAACUCACUGAAUGUGACAAUUUAUUUCUUCGAAAUAAGUGAUCCUUACCAUCCAAUUCAUUUUACCCAAAUUUUCUUUUCAAAGGAUCGUAUUUUAAAAUCUUUUCAAAAUUUCGACAUUAAGACAUUAAACAAUCAAUUUGGUACCAAUUUUGGGCGUCACGAGGGUGCCUUCCUCGUGCGUAACCGACUCCCGAACCUGUUUUCUCAAAAUUCGCAGACCUAAAAUCGUUUUAAUGGUGAACCGGUCACACCUUAAUAAAAGAUCGGUGGCGACUCCUACUUUUCAUUUUUAAAAGUCGAUUCCCCUUUUCAAAAAAAUGGUUUCGACACUUGGUGUUCACGAUUUUCGAGAGAAUGGCGCCCUAACUUAUUGGGCUUCAAUUCUUUUCGUUAAAUUUAGAUAUCCGAGUAUCCCUUUUUAAAUAAAAUUGUACAGAUUCUAAAGAAAAGUUUUUCGGGAUUUCAAAAUGUUGGAUCCUAACUCACUGGAUAUGACAUUUUGCUACCUCGAAUUAAGGAUUUUCAAAAUAAAGGCAAUAUUCAGUAUUUAGGAAUUUUGAGAAAUUGAACACUAACUUACUGGGUUUUGAUUUUUUUAUUUGACCCCAAAUAACCAAAUAUCCUUCUCAAAAUGCAUGGGUUUUAAUGAUAAACUUAAUUUUGAAGAUUAAAAAUGUUGCGCCCUAACUUACUGGAUGUGACAUUUUAUUUCUUUGAAAUAAGAGUGCCUUAUUAUUUAAUUCAAUUUAUUCGAGUUAAAAGGAUCGUGUUUUAAAAUCUUUUCAAAUUUUCGACAUUAAGACAUCAACAAUCAAUUCGGUACCAAUUUUGGGCGUUACGAGGGUGCUAACCCUUCCUCGUACGUAAACGACUCCCAAACUUAUUUUCUCAAAAUCUCGCAGACCAAAAUCGCUUUUAAGGUGAACCGGUCACACCUCAAUAAAGAUUGGUGGCGACUCCGAAUUUUUUUUAUUUUUAAGUCGACAACUAAACUCUUUUUGUUUUUUCAAAAAAAGUGGUUUCGACAAAACCCAAAAUCCAAUAUCCUACUUCCAGCAUACACCACACAUGAGUAAAUGGUAAAGCAAAACAUGUUUCCAGGAAUAGAAGUAAACAGAUUGUUGCAGUGUACAAGCUGCAGUGUUUGCAAAAGCCAAUCAUGAAAAUAUUGGUCAACAGAUUGUUGCAGCACAUCAAAAUCUUCUUGUAAAAGAUUGUUGAUAUUAGCAAGAAGUAAACUUUGGCCUCUAGCCUUAACAAGUAAUGUGAUAAGAGAAGUUUCCAACCUAAGUUAAGUGUUAAAAAAUCAUAUAAAACGAAAAAGAAAAUGGGGGAAGCAAAUGUUUUAGUCGUUCACAUCUGAGCCUAAGAAUCAAAAGAAGUUUAUAAGAAGAAACUCAUUAACAGACAUUACAAACAAUAGGCUAAAAACAAACAGAUCUGAUAAUAUGGGUCAAACCAUUUAGCCAAUGGAACUGAUUGGUCAAGAAAUUUACAUUAGACGUUUCUAACUUAUGAACUUUGAAUAAUGGAUGAGGACCAGCAUUUGCAACUCCAUGAUACCAUGAUAUUUUACCAUUAAAAUGGGGUUUAAAAUUUUAAUCAAUAUCUUGUGAAGUGCAUUGAUUCAAUUAUGUUAACCAUUGUAUCAAAUAUCUAUUACAUGAAUGAACUAAUCCAUCCAGUACUAACAAAUUCAAGAACAAAACAAAUAUUUUCAAGCCCAGUCCAAAUACAAGAAGAAAUGAUCACUCCGGAUCUCAUCAACAAACAGAAUGAAAGCAAAAUAAGACAAUGAGAGAGAGGAAGAUUGAAACAAGAAAGCAAGAAAGGAAGAUUGAAACAAGAAAAGAAGCCAUAGUUGAAAUCAUUUGUCUCAAGAAAUACCAGCUUAAAUCAACAGCUUCAAACUCUUAAUAAGAUCAUAGAUGAGUAGAGGAAAUUAAGAAGCUGCUACCCUCCGCAUUAUAUGCCUGUUUAGGACAUAUUAAACACCUGCACUAACUGAUUGGUGGGGAUCUAGCAAUCACUAAAGCAAAGCAGAGCAAAGCAGCAGUUGUAAUGGCCCAAAUUUGAGGUUAUCGGAACAGUGGUUUCGGGACCACAAAUCCGAUGAAAAAAUUUUUAUUUUUCUUAUAUUUUUAUGGUCUAAAAUUUCACAAAAUGAUUUCGUGAAAAUUUCGUUCGAAAAUUUCGACGUUUGGGCACUCAAUUUAGUCAAAAGGACUAAAUUGUAAAAAGUGCAAAAGUUGAGUUCUACAUGUUAGAGGUGUCCAAUUGUUAUGAAACUUUAAAUUGGAGGUCCUUAUAUGGUAAUUAUACCAUUGGUNNNNNNNNNNNNNNNNNNNNNNNNNNNNNNNNNNNNNNNNNNNNNNNNNNNNNNNNNNNNNNNNNNNNNNNNNNNNNNNNNNNNNNNNNNNNNNNNNNNNAAGUUAGGGGCAAUUUGGUAAUCUAGUAAUUAAAAUGAAUUAAAAGGGAAAAAGAUGGAAAAAAUCAUCAUCUUCUUCAUUAGGACGAAAUCAGCAAGGGGGGAAGCCAUAGUUAGGGUUUUCAAGCUUCCAAGCUCCAUAGUAAGUGAUCCCAAGUCCCGUUUUUAAUGUUUUUUUACGUUUUUGGAGUCCCGGUAGCUUAAUUUAGCUUAUUCUAGCAAUAAUUUAACCUAGGGUUUAUAUUUGGAAAAAUACCCAUAGGUGAAAAGUGUUUAUUUUGAUGUUUUAUGAUAGAAUAUGAAGCUAGAAAUUAUGUUAAACAACUUUUGCUAAGCGAUUUUAAGUGAAAACGAGUAAAACGACAUAAUCGGUAAAAAUACCUAAUGUUCAUAAGUACAUGUUAGAGUGGGAAUUUGAUGUUGCCAUAGAAGGGAAAAAUGUUCAGAAUGUUAUAAAACAUAAGAAUAAGAGAUGAAUUUUAAUUUCCGAGCCUUGGGGAAAAAUGUAAUUAUGUAAAAGUUUAGGGGCAAAAUUGUAAUUUUGAAAAAGUUAGAGUCGAGGGCUGUUUUGAUGAAUGUGAUUAUUAAAUAAGUUAAAUUUACUAUUUUAGAUCAAGAAGUAUGAAACUCGAGGUUAGACAAAGGGAAGAAUAAAGUUGAAGACUAAGUUGGUGAAAUUGGCUAUAAUUGGUACCGAGGUAAGUUUACGGUAAAUAAAUGCAAUAUUUCNNNNNNNNNNNNNNNNNNNNNNNNNNNNNNNNNNNNNNNNNNNNNNNNNNNNNNNNNNNNNNNNNNNNNNNNNNNNNNNNNNNNNNNNNNNNNNNNNNNNNNNNNNNNNNNNNNNNNNNNNNNNNNNNNNNNNNNNNNNNNNNNNNNNNNNNNNNNNNNNNNNNNNNNNNNNNNNNNNNNNNNNNNNNNNAUGGCAUUGGCAUCCUUAAGAUCAUGAGAGGUCCCAUGUAAGAACCAAGUAUGGGACCUGGCGUUGGCACCGAGAUGAGAGUUCCCAUGUAAGACCAUGUCUGGGUCAUGGCAUUGGCACCGAGAUGAGAGGUCCCCUAUAAGACCAUGUCUGGGACAUGGCAUGGGUACCAACAUGAGAACAUCCCAUGUAAGACCAUGUCUGGGACAUGGCUUUGGCAUGUUAUUAUCAGAAGAGACCCGAGUAUCCUUAUUAUUCCAAUGUAGCUCAACGGGCUUGUAAACGAAUCAUGUUCAUGAAAGUUCAGUUUAAAGCAUAAAUGGCAAGCUCAGGUAAGUUGUAAGACUUAAGAACUUAUUAUACUAUCAAUUGAUGUUCAACGAUGCAGCAAGAGUUGAGUAAGUUAUGCACACAAGUAUUCUAAGUAAACAAGUAAGAGAACUAGUAUGAGAUUAACUAAAGAGUAAACUAGAGAUAUAGUCACUUGAGUUUAAUUAUUUGUGUGUAAUGUUGUUAUUUAUUUGCUAGUAAACUUACUAAGCUUUAUGCUUACUUCUUUUAUUUCUCUUUCUCUUAUAGUAUUGCAAAGCUACUUCAAGGAUCCUAAAGAAGUCGGAGAUCGUCCACACUAUCAACCACAACUGCUCGGUAUUUUAUGUCAAAACACGUUUGAGUUAUGGCAUGUAUAGGGAUUUAGUUAUUUUGUAUGUUUGUAAUGAUGAUUUUGCUAAUGAGUGAUGUGUAAGUAUUUGAUGAUGUAUGGUCAUUAAAAUGGUUAAGGAUGAAGGUGUUUGUUGUUAUGAAAGAUUAGGUGAUAAAUUAUGCAUGGAAAUCAUGAAAGGAUAAAAUUUUGCAAAGAAACAGAAUUCAGGCAGCACAGUGACCUGAAUUUGAAAAAUCACCUAGGAUGGUAUAAAAUGAAUUAGAGGGUGAAUGAUAUAUGGAAUUAAAUCUUGUUGAGUCUAUUUUCAUGGAAAAAUAACAGUGUAGCAAAAGGAAAUUUAUAUUUUAAGAUAUGUGAAUUUUAGUAAGAUAGGGUCAGAACUGUUUUUGGAGUCCCCUGUUCUGAGUUUAGAAAAUAAUUAAAAAUUGUACAAAAAUGGUUAUGAGUUGAAAUUUACAUGCUUAGAUUCCUUAAUGAGUCUAUUUUCUGUAGGAACAAGUGGGAAUAGCAUAUGAAAAUCCUAUAACAAGAAAAGUUAUUUUUAGUAACAAGAGGUCAGAAUAGUUGAAUGGUGAAACAGGGGAGACUUUAACUAAUAAACUGUACUAAUUGGCUGAACCAAAAAUUCUAAAAAUUUUAUGGUAGGAAGAUAUAUGAGUCUAGUUUCAAGGAAAAUUUACAGAGUUAAAUUUUGAGUUCCGUAGCUCAAGUUAUAAUUAAUUUAGUGACCGCUGCGCAAUUGGACAGCUUUGCUGUAAAUAGUGAAAAUAAUUUGCAAAAGUAAAUUUUUAUGCUCCGAAUUAGUAAGAUAAGUUAAGUAAUGCCUCGUGCUCGACUCCGGAAAUGGUCUCGGGUAAGGGAUGUUACAGCAGAGGCACAAAGCAAAGCAAAUCAGUAAAGCAAAAGAGGCAUAACAGAAAAAAGGAACACUAAUUCUGAAAGAAUUACAACACAAGUUCGGACAUGACAACACAAGUUUAGCAGCAGAAAGUUAUCAGGAAGGAACCAUGAUUCGAUAUAUCAUUAUUUAAAGAAACAGUCAUCCUUUACCAUUACAACUAGAGAAUCAUAUGCCUUCUCUAGAAUGCAAACUUUAAAUGGGAAGGGGGGAAGAGAGCCUAGAAGCGCAAUCAAUAACAGUUUAAAUCUAUACUCCAAUCCAGAACCUAAACUAGAUGGCAUCAGUUUCUCAAGAGACAUCUCAUAAUGAUGCUGCCAAAAAAGAAACUAAUAAUAAUAAAGAACAAAGAUGCAAUAAAGGUUAAGCAAUUUAUCAGGCUAGAAAUCUUGGUGAGGGAAUUCAAUAGACUAAGCUAAUGAAGACUUAUUUUUCCAUCAGAGAAGAAAAAUGUAAGAUGUGUGAUUCUACCACAUAUUAUCCCAGAAAAAGAAUACUUCCUCUUCAAUUGAUUUUCAGAUAAUGCUAAAAUACGGAGCCAAAAUACCACAAAAUUGCAAUAAAAACAAAACCCACUAGCUACCUGUUAUUUGAAAUAAAAUUGAUGUGAUAAUCAUGAGCAUGGCCGUAUACUCGUCGACAUCUAGCCACUAGGUUGGUCUCCUGACUUGUUACCUAGAUAUAGUGAAGAUUAAAAGUUAGUGCAGAGUGAUCAAGAAGCAUUUAGACAACAAAAGAAAUGUUCCUGAUUACUCAAAAACAAAAUCCUAACACUCUCCUCCUGCCAGAGAAAGAGAGAGGAUGGUAUUCUGAAUGUGGGUUUUGAAUGGGAGAAGAAAAUCCUCCAAAGAGAAGCACCGGUGGUGGAGAAGAGGAGAAAAUAUACAGAAGAAAUAAUGAUAAAAAUUAAUCCCAUAAUAAAGACAAACAAAAAUAUACAAAGAAGAAAAAGAUAAACUCACUGGUGGUGGAGAAGAGGAAUAAAGAACCGGCAGAGGAACAAAGAACCAGCAAUGAAAAGAGAUGGAAGCAAAGUGCAUUUUGGAUGAAAACAAAGAACCAGCGUUGUUUGUGUGUUGUGUGGCUAAAAAAGUAAAAGACCAGCCCAAAAGCACUUCUUGGCUGAAAAAGCUAAAAAAAUCUCUUUUUUCAUUUGCCCAAAAGCACUUCAAAAACGCUAGAAAUUUGCAAGAGAUGAAGUUCGUUCUUUAUUACUUUUCAGAGAAAAGUGCUUUUACAUAUAAAAGCCCAUCUCAAAUGCAAUAAAAAAAGAAGCCUUACUCCCUCCCAAGUCCCACCCCCAAGUUCCUAGACACAGACUUUUUCCUUUGGACUAUAGCCCAUCGACACACUAUUUGGAAUUAAAACCCCAAUGCAAACAUGGGCCAGUUUACAACUGUGCCAAUGUUUGGGUGAGCUUAAUGGAGUGGGCUACUGCACCUACAACAAUUCGGUUUAUUGCUUUGUUAAGGCCUCAGAUGCUUCUGAAAUUGAUGCGUGCAGCACUCAACUUCAAAGUCGGCACCUCUUCUAUCUAUCUAUAUAUUUUUGGGCUCAAAUGAAAAAUGGGCAAAUAUUAUAAAUAUUUGAUCAAACUUCCAUAAUAAUUAAGUUUUGCUAAUUUCAAUUGUUUCUUUCUCCUAGUUUCAAUACAAUAUUGAUAGGUUUCAGGUGGCUUGAAACCUAAAACUGAAAAAAAAGAUACAAUCGAAACUAGUUAUUAUGAAAGUUUGAUAAGAUAUGGAAACUAUUUAUAAUAAAAAAUAUAUGUAGAAGACGACACCUAGAGGUACCGACUUCAACUAUUUCAAAUCUAUUUUUGCUAAUUAAUCUUUUUAUUUCAGAUAUAUGGGAAAAAAGCCGCAUGUUUCUUUCCCCUAGACUUGUUUUUGGUGCCCUCUGGCUAAAGAUGACUAUUCCACUCUCUGGCUGUCAAGUGGUAAGUUAUAGAUAGUUACAACUUAGCAAUAAAAACCACUAAGUUCCACUUUUUUCUCAGUCAACGGUGCCUCCAUCUCUAUCAAUCAUUGCUCCUUCACAGACAGGUACCAUAGCACCGGGUCACAAAGGGAACAUCCUUUUUGUACGAAAACAUGGCGUGAAUCUUGCUAGAUAUCUUCUGAAGCUUGUCGGAUAGUGAAUGGAAUUGGUCUCCAAAGAUAAAAGACAUCAUAAGGCACUGAAAUCUUGAUGGUGGUCCACGUUUAAGUUAAAUACUCAACAUUAAUGAACAAAAAGAAGUGUAAAACUCAACAUUUACUUUAUCUAUUUAUAUAUACUUCUUAGGUAUAUGUAACGCUUAAUGGUGGAUAGAUGUAAAUGCAAUAUCUGUUUUUGAAAUUGUUUAAUGGCCGUCGCCUCAUCAAGUGUCCUGUAAGUAGAAACAUGAGGCUUCCACUACUUUCCCUUUCCACUAAAUAGUAACUACAAUUUAUUGUGAUCCAAUAUUGCAACAGUAAUGAGUACUAAAUAGUAAGUAUAAGCUUUGCUUCUGAAAGCAAGGUUUUGUCAUUAGAACAACUUUUGUGUCAACCCCUUCACUGCCAAUUAAUAUGAGUUUCAGAACAUUCUCCUCUUUUUUCAAACCUUUUUAAAAUUUUUUUUAUUUUUAUUUCCCCGAGAAUUCAGUUCAGUGCAUGAGAAUGGUGAGUUAUGUCAUGCAUGAGGUAUUUUAUUAUAUAGAAAAUUCGGUUAAAAACAAACAUUUUCUUAGUCAGCCUCCAUCUUCUCUUGUGUUCAUUAAAAGACAACGUAUCCAGCAACUUUCUUUGACCAUAAUAAUAAUAAUGCUUCUUAGUUCAUUUCAUUAUUCUAGCUUUGGCGGGUAAAACUUGGAUGUCAACCUUCAAUCUGCUUAGGUGAGGCGAGAAAAAUAUAUAAGUCAACGUUGAAUCAUGCCAGAACUGUGGGAUAUGAUUAAUACUGGUGGUCAAACAUCACCCACCAAAUGAAAUUAUUGAUGAACUUGAACUUGAUUUUGCAAAAGCACUCAUAAAUAGUCAACCACUCAACCAGCUGAACCAAGCCAUUUCGAAGUCAACAUUCAGCUCUGUAACUCUUGUCUCCAGCCACUGUGAUUUAAUUUAUAUGUAUUAUAUAUAGGGAACUGAAUUCUAGAGGCCGGCAUACGAGAGCGAAAACAAAAGAAACAUCAAAAUGUUAGUGUCGUCAACAAUGCAUCUAUUAAGCAUGUGUGUCCUGUCUUUGGUUUUAUCUUGCUGUCAGGGAAGGGAAGAUCCGAAUUUCCGGAUUCGAGCAGUUAAUCUAGGAGGUUGGCUUGUGACCGAAGGUUGGAUUAAACCUUCCCUUUUUGAUGGCAUCGUCAACAAAGAUUUUCUGGUUUGGAGAUUAAACCCUUUCUUUCAGAAUAACCAUUCACCACUAUAUACAAAUUCAUGAAACAAUAGAAUACAGUAUAUAAUUAACUCCAGUUCUAUUUCUGUGCUUCAUUGAUAUGAUGAUCAGGAUGGAACUGCACUUCAGUUUAAGUCAGUAACAACCGGGAAAUAUCUUUCCGCCGAGCAAGGUGGAGGAAGUAUCAUAGUUGCCAACCGGACAACUGCUUCUGGUUGGGAAACCUUUAGAGUAAUGGAAGCUAUACUUUGGUCUGAACAAGUUUUUUCCUAUGUUGUUUCAUUAAUUCAGGGUUUGUGACUUCAAAUUUGUUUCCCCACUGGUAUGAAACAGCUGUGGAGGAUCAAUGAGACAGCUUUUAAUUUUAGGGUCUUUGGGAAGCAAUUCAUUGGAGUUGACACGGACGGGAAUGGGAUUGGCAUAGUAGCUAUCUCAAAAGCUCCUGGACAUUCAGAGACCUUCGAGAUUUUGCGGAACUCCGAUGAUAAGAACCGGGUUCGGAUCAAAGCUUCAAAUGGGUACUAUUUACAGGUAAUUGUAACUUGCAAGUCUUCGCAAAAGCUUGUUAGGCCCACUAAGAAAGACCUUUCAUUAUCCAUCUAGGUCGGCAUUUCUCUGUGGGAUGAAAGGCAGGCAAGUUUAAUUGGGAUAUUAAGACAUUGUAUUUUUUUAUAUUUGUUAGGUAUUCCCUUUCUCAACACCACUGAAAACGUGCUUUCUUAACAUAUGCAUGCAGUGUAUAAGUAAAUAAUGGUGUCCAAUUAGUGUAUGCCUUUUGAGAAAAGAUGUAAAAUGCAGGCAAAAACAGAAGAAGUGGUGACGGCUGAUUCACAAGGAAAUAAAGGAUGGGGAGACGAUGAUCCAUCAGUAUUUGUGAUGAAGAUGACAGGAAGGUUGGAGGGCGAGUUUCAAGUGACCAAUGGCUAUGGCCCUGAAAAUGCUCCACAAGUCAUGAGGGUAUGUGCUGCCCCACUAAGAUAAUUACUUUUUUUUUCUUUUUCUUUUUUGGCUUCAUUAUGAAUUUAUUUAAUUGCAUAUUAAUAAUGUUUAAAAUGUGUAAUGCAAUAUCAACAAAUUAAGCUCAACUUUAAGUUUUUUUUAAUUAAUUAGUUGUCAUUAUGAUGAAAAAAAAGAGUGGGGUGGGGGGGGGGGAUAUUUUCAACUAAUAUGAAAAACCAUUAUAAGAUGGUUUAAAAUUCAUAAGACAAAUUUGGCCUUUGACAUUGGUGUCGGCGUUGGCUGUUGACUUGAUGACGUCCAAAUGGUGGUAUGGAACAGUUUGGGUGGCUUUAAAAUUGCCAUUCCUAUCUCAUAGUUAUUGACAGAUUUAUAACUUUUAUUAUAUAGCUUGUGAUCUUAUUGGUAUUAUUUUAAUUAGUUUUUUUUUUAGAUCUUGUAAUGAUAUCGUGUGAUGUUCAAUAUUUUAUCUUAUUCUUAGGAGCAUUGGAGGACAUUCAUUGUGGAAAAAGACUUCAAAUUCAUAUCACAAAAUGGGCUAAAUGCUGUGAGAAUACCAGUAGGAUGGUGGAUCGCCAGCGAUCCGACACCACCUCCGCCCUUUGUUGGCGGCUCGUUGCAAGCAUUAGACAAUGCCUUCCAAUGGGCAAAGUAAGUUCCUUUUUCUUCCCCUGUAAACAACUAAUUUUCAUCAAUUCACUCAAACUGAAUCUUAUCAAUACGAUAUUCAUAUUCCCCAAUGAAGUUACAAAUUUUCCUUCUUUUUUUGUGUGUGUAGGAAAUAUGGAUUAAAAGUUAUAAUUGAUCUACAUGCUGCACCUGGUUCACAAAAUGGUUGGGAGCACAGCGGUUCCAGAGAUAGCUCCCAGGAAUGGGGCAAAACAGAUGAAACCAUAACCCAAACAGUAGCUGUCAUAGAUUUCUUAGCAUCCAGGUCAAAACAAUGAAUCCAUUUUCUUCAUUGAAACUCAAUUACAUAAUUAGUUAUCAGCUCUAACUUCAUUAUGAAUUAUGAUGCCUUUUGGUCCUUGAAUAUAGAUAUGCAAACAGCCCAAGCCUUUAUGCAGUCGAGCUCAUCAACGAGCCCCUCUCACCGGGAGCAACACUGUCGAGCGUGAUCGAAUACUACAAAGCCGGUUACGCAGCCGUGCGUAGGCACACUUCAACAGCUUUCGUGGUGAUGUCGAACAGGCUAGGACCGAUGAAACCGAGGGAGCUGUUUCCGAUCGCCAGUGGCUUUAAGCGAUCUGUUAUUGAUGUACAUUAUUACAACCUUUUCGAAGACAUGUUUAACAACAUGACUGUCCAACAGAACAUUGAUUUUGUAUACAACAAUCGGUCCUCGCAGCUGAAUUAUGUUACGACAUCUAAUGGUCCUCUAACUUUUGUCGGUAAGAAUGGAUGGUCGGUUCUCAUGUAAAUUGAAAUGUUUAUGAUAUUCAUUCAUUAAUGGCGAGUGUAAAUGAAAUGAGUGAUGGUCAUUUUUCAGGGGAAUGGGUGGCUGAGUGGCAAGUUGUUGGAGCUGGUAAAGAGGAUUACCAACGGUUGGCGGAGGCUCAAAUGGAGGUGUAUGGGAGGGCAAGUUUUGGUUGGGCAUACUGGACUCUGAAGAACGUUAACAAACAUUGGAGCCUGGAAUGGAUGAUCAACAAUGGCUAUAUCAAGCUUUAGGGUUUAGGCCCGUCGGCUCUGGACUUGGGGCAUCAAUAGGAGCAUCUCUUGGUAGGCAAUAAAGGCUGGAAUAUUAACAUGUUCCCAAUUCUCAACCCAAAAAGCAGCCAUAAAAUAAAAAAGGCUUGUAUUUUCAAAUUACAAAAAUGUAUAUAUUAUCUUUUCAAUUUGUCAUCAUAAGCACAUCAACAAAAAUAAGAUAUGCAAAAUUGAUUGAAAUUGUCAAAGAACUCAACAUAAUAUACUAAAACAUAUAAAUAUGAGAAGUAUCAAUACUUUGUUUUGUGGUGGGAACCAAAAACUGUCCUCUUCCAUGAUAGUAUAUAAUUGCGCAACAUGUCCCCCAUAAUUUAUGGAUUUGUACCUUAUAGGUAGCACAAAUCAUGUUUCAAUAAUGUUUUGUUUUUCGUCAGUUUAUAUUUAUUGGGUCCAUUCAUUGUCAGCUGUGAUCCAAAGAAGUGAGAAUGCAUUUAACAAUCUUAAAAUGGUUGCAAAUUGUAAUUAUAUUAGUUCAAAGUAACACGAUCCUAAUUGUGUGGUAUGGACAAUGGAGAAGUGAUUUUUUAGAAAUAAAAUUUAAUAAGAUUAAAGAAAUAUUUUUAAUGGACAUAAUAAUGACGAUAAAGGAAAAAAAUACGCAUAAAUUGGUAACUAGAGUAGAAGAUAAAAAAAAUUUUGAGUAAAAAACUAAAAAUUUAUGGCAUUUACAAAUUCAUCUCAGGAUUCAUUUAAAAGAAAAAUGUAAUUUAAGCUUCAUAAUUCCUAAUUCAAAUUAAAUUUUUAAUGGAAAACAGGAAAUGAAUGUAACCAAAGUCACCAAAUCGGAAAUUGAAUCUCAGUGAACAUUAUAACAGGGAUGAAUGGGCUAAAAAGCUGAGUGGAAGAAAGGAUAUUAUGUAUUAAACAUACUACCUUAUAAAAUCAAUAUUAAAAAUACUGAAAAAAAAUCUAUCACACGCGUAUACGUGUUGAAAACACGCAUUUAGAAUAUAUAUAUACGUAUUUUUAAAAUAGUAUAAUAUAAAUAAUAAAAUAUAUGAUUUAGAACUAAUUAAUAAUAACACACGAGUUAAAAUAAAAAUUAGAUUAAAUUGUAAGUAAAACAAAAUUCAAACACUUGAAUACAUCAAAUUAAGGUUACUAAAUAAUGCAAUUAUUUAUCAUAGUGUUGUCAUCAAUGCUAAGUCGGGGUUGAGUUAAUUUAUGACACUAUCUCAAUCAACAAUAUUAUUAAUACAAUUGAUGGACGUAAUAAAGCGCGCAUAAUAAAAUUAAAAUGUAUAAGUAAAUCAAAAUAAAUAUUUGAUUGAGUGGUAAAUUUAAAGUUUUCUAAAUGUAAUUGAUUGACAUUGGUCCAAAUUGCACCAUAUACAUAUUUUUAUUUUUUUAAAAUUAAAAGGGCCAAAAUAUCCUCAAGUAAUAUAACCUUUUUUAAAAUAUAAAAAGGUCAUUUUUAUAAAUUUCCUAACUGAGUUGGAACCCGAUUGACUUAUGAUACCAACUUAAUAAAAGAUUUUUAUUAAUAGUAUAGAUCUCAAAUAAAUGAAAUAUAUAUAGACUAGAGGUGAUCAUGGGUUGGGCUACUCAGCCCGGCCCGAAAAAUGGGAGGGUUCGGGUAAAAAUAUAGGCUCGAAAUAUGGUUUGGGCAAAAAAAAGAGGCCCGUUUAGAAAAUGGGCCGGGCUUCGGGUAAAACUGUUUUGGCCUGGCCCGGCCCAGCCCGAAUUAUAUAUUAAAUAUAUAUAUUUAAUAUGGGUCGGGCUCGUGCUUAACAAUUUUCUUUCGGGCCUAUUUUGAGUCGAGCCAGGCCCAGACCUAGAAAACAGGUUUAAAAUUUUGUCUGAGCCCGACCAGGUUGAUCACCUCUAAUAUAGACAAACUUAAAUGGAUUUAAAUUUAUUAUUUACAAAUAUAAAUAAAUUUAAACAAAAUUUAAAACUCACAUCUCGAAUCGAAUCAAACUUAAACAACUAUUUAUAAUAAAAAUAAAUCGAAUUUAAAUUUAACCCAACCCAACCCAACCCAACCCAACCCUUAACACCUCUAACAUUAGCGAAGAUGGAGUAGAUUAACUUGUUUAGAAGGCACACUGUACGAACAUCUCCCAGUAGAGAGAGAGGAAACGUAGGUCACAAGCAAAAUAAAAAAUAAAAAUCACCUUUGCUUUUACAAUUUCAUUUUCCAAAAAGAAAGUUAUGAAGAAAACAACAAUUUGUUACACUAAAAUGGACACCUCAACUUCUGC
Molecule: long non-coding RNA, 15602 nt
Filed under: Gossypium raimondii (Peruvian cotton)
Lineage: Eukaryota; Viridiplantae; Streptophyta; Magnoliopsida; Malvales; Malvaceae
Description: long non-coding RNA (GRAI_LNC007098)
Source: RNAcentral